UACGAAGGGGGCGAGCGUUGUUCGGAAUUACUGGGCGUAAAGGGCGCGUAGGCGUCCGAUCAAGUCAGAUGUGAAAGUCCUGGGCUUAACCUGGGGACUGCAUUUGAUACUGAUUGGCUUGAAUGCAGGAGAGGAUAGCGGAAUUCCCAGUGUAGAGGUGAAAUUCGUAGAUAUUGGGAAGAACACCGGUGGCGAAGGCGGCUAUCUGGACUGUGAUUGACGCUGAGGCGCGAAAGCGUAGGGAGCAAACGGG
Molecule: ribosomal RNA, 253 nt
Filed under: uncultured bacterium
Lineage: Bacteria
Description: partial 16S ribosomal RNA
Rfam family: Bacterial small subunit ribosomal RNA
Source: RNAcentral